Molecule: ribosomal RNA, 253 nt
Filed under: uncultured bacterium
Lineage: Bacteria
Description: partial 16S ribosomal RNA
Rfam family: Bacterial small subunit ribosomal RNA
Source: RNAcentral
UACAGAGGGGGCAAGCGUUGUUCGGAAUUACUGGGCGUAAAGGGCGCGUAGGCGGCCUUCUAAGUCGAACGUGAAAUCCCCGGGCUCAACCCGGGAACUGCGUCCGAUACUGGGAGGCUUGAAUCCGGGAGAGGGAUGCGGAAUUCCAGGUGUAGCGGUGAAAUGCGUAGAUAUCUGGAGGAACACCGGUGGCGAAGGCGGCAUCCUGGACCGGCAUUGACGCUGAGGCGCGAAAGCCAGGGGAGCAAACGGG